Molecule: ribosomal RNA, 279 nt
Filed under: uncultured bacterium
Lineage: Bacteria
Description: partial 16S ribosomal RNA
Rfam family: Bacterial small subunit ribosomal RNA
Source: RNAcentral
UGCCAGCCGCCGCGGUAAUACGGAGGGUGCAAGCGUUGUCCGGAAUCAUUGGGCGUAAAGGGCGCGUAGGCGGCCCGACAAGUCAGGGGUGAAAUCCCUCGGCUCAACCGAGGAACUGCCUCUGAAACUGUCAGGCUUGAGGCCGGGAGAGGGUAGUGGAAUUCCCAGUGUAGCGGUGAAAUGCGUAGAUAUUGGGAGGAACACCAGUGGCGAAGGCGGCUACCUGGACCGGUUCUGACGCUGAGGCGCGAAAGUGUGGGGAGCAAACAGGAUUAGAUA